CCUGAGUACAGCGGCGCACGGGUGAGUAACACGUGGGUAACCUGCCUCGGAGUGGGGAAUAACACCGGGAAACCGGUGCUAAUACCGCAUACGACCACAGGCUCUUCGGAAUCUGUGAUGAAAGACAAUGUCGCUCUGAGAGGGGCCCGCGCCCGAUUAGCUAGUUGGUGAGGUAACGGCUCACCAAGGCAGCGAUCGGUAGCCGGUCUGAGAGGACGGUCGGCCACACUGGAACUGACACACGGUCCAGACUCCUACGGGAGGCAGCAGUGGGGAAUUUUUGACAAUGGGGGAAACCCUGAUCAAGCAACGCCGCGUGGAUGAUGAAGUAUUUCGGUACGUAAAAUCCUUUCGACAGGGAAGAAGCCUUCGGGUUGACGGUACCUGUAGAAGAAGCCCCGGCUAACUCCGUGCCAGCAGCCGCGGUAAUACGGGGGGGGCAAGCGUUGUUCGGAUUUACUGGGCGUAAAGGGCGCGUAGGCGGUUCGUUAAGUCGGAUGUGAAAACUCUGGGCUCAACCCAGAGCCUGCAUCCGAUACUGGCGGACUUGAGUGCGAGAGGGGAAAGCGGAAUUCCUGGUGUAGCGGUGAAAUGCGUAGAUAUCAGGAGGAACACCGGCGGCGAAGGCGGCUU
RNAcentral lists this ribosomal RNA (633 nucleotides) under uncultured Acidobacteriota bacterium. RNAcentral describes it as "bacterial SSU rRNA". It matches the Rfam family "Bacterial small subunit ribosomal RNA", at positions 85 to 727 of the family's 1533-position model. The record is from RNAcentral. Lineage: Bacteria; Pseudomonadati; Acidobacteriota.